RNAcentral lists this ribosomal RNA (253 nucleotides) under uncultured bacterium. RNAcentral's name for it is "partial 16S ribosomal RNA". It matches the Rfam family "Bacterial small subunit ribosomal RNA", at positions 524 to 776 of the family's 1533-position model. The record is from RNAcentral.
UACGAAGGGGGCUAGCGUUGUUCGGAAUUACUGGGCGUAAAGGGUUUGUAGGCGGUUGAACAAGUCAGUGGUGAAAGCCCAGAGCUUAACUCUGGAAUUGCCAUUGAAACUGUUCGGCUUGAGAGUGUUAGAGGAAAGUGGAAUUCCUAGUGUAGGAGUGAAAUCCGUAGAGAUUAGGAGGAAUAUCGAUGGCGAAGGCAGCUUUCUGGGACAUUUCUGACGCUGAGAAACGAAAGCGUGGGUAGCAAACAGG